Molecule: ribosomal RNA, 425 nt
Filed under: uncultured bacterium
Lineage: Bacteria
Description: partial 16S ribosomal RNA
Rfam family: Bacterial small subunit ribosomal RNA
Source: RNAcentral
GUUAGGAAUAUUGGACAAUGGGCGCAAGCCUGAUCCAGCCAUGCCGCGUGAACGAUGAAGGCCUUCGGGUUGUAAAGUUCUUUAGCCGAUGAUUAUAAUGACUGUAGUCGGAAAAUAAGCCCCGGCUAACUUCGUGCCAGCAGCCGCGGUAAUACGAAGGGGGCGAGUGUUAUUCGGAAUCACUGGGCGUAAAGCGUGCGUAGGCGGUCUCGUAAGUUAGGAGUGAAAGCCCAGGGCUCAACCUUGGAAUUGCUCUUAAUACUGCAAGGCUAGAAUCUCGGAGAGGAUAGCGGAAUUUCCAGUGUAGCAGUGAAAUGCGUAGAUAUUGGAAGGAACACCAGUGGCGUAAGCGGCUAUCUGGACGAGUAUUGACGCUGAGGCACGAAAGCGUGGGGAUCAAACAGGAUUAGAUACCCGAGUAGUCC